Molecule: long non-coding RNA, 212 nt
Filed under: Lathyrus oleraceus (garden pea)
Lineage: Eukaryota; Viridiplantae; Streptophyta; Magnoliopsida; Fabales; Fabaceae
Description: Pisum sativum (pea) long non-coding RNA (PSAT_LNC032345)
Source: RNAcentral
UUAGGCUAAGUCUUCAGAUUUUUAUGAUAUAUAUCGGAACUCAUUUGCAAUGUCUUUCGAUUUGAUAAAACCUUCACCGAAAAUCCUUUACAAAGUGUUCCAGUUUUUUGAAAAGUUAAUGCACCGAAACUCUUUCAAAAUGUUUUCCGAUUUGUUUUUUUAAAAUCGAAACUCUUUCAAAAUGUGUUCCGAUUUAUUUUUUUAAAUUUUUU